UACGAAGGGGGCUAGCGUUGCUCGGAAUCACUGGGCGUAAAGCGCACGUAGGCGGAUCUUUAAGUCAGGGGUGAAAUCCCAAGGCUCAACCUUGGAACUGCCUUUGAUACUGGGGAUCUCGAGUCCGGAAGAGGUGAGUGGAACUGCGAGUGUAGAGGUGAAAUUCGUAGAUAUUCGGAAGAACACCAGUGGCGAAGGCGACUUACUGGACACAUAUUGACGCUGAGGUGCGAAAGCGUGGGGAGCAAACAGG
RNAcentral lists this ribosomal RNA (253 nucleotides) under uncultured bacterium. Its description in RNAcentral is "partial 16S ribosomal RNA". It matches the Rfam family "Bacterial small subunit ribosomal RNA", at positions 524 to 776 of the family's 1533-position model. The record is from RNAcentral.